UGUACACGCUGUGACUAGCAUAUCAAUAAGCGGAGGAAAAGAAACUAACAAGGAUUCCCCUAGUAACGGCGAGUGAAGCGGGAAGAGCUCAAAUUUGAAAUCUUAAAGGGUUUCCCUUUACGAAUUGUAGUUUAAAGAAGUGUUUUCUGUUGAGGUUUUGGUAAAAGUUCUUUGGAAUAGGACAUCAUAGAGGGUGAGAAUCCCGUAUUUGACCUUUACUUUCAACUUUGUGAUACACUUUCAAAGAGUCGGAUUGUUUGGGAAUGCAGUCCAAAAUGGGUGGUAAAUUUCAUCUAAAGCUAAAUAUUGGCGAGAGACCGAUAGCGAACAAGUACCGUGAGGGAAAGAUGAGAAGAACUUUGAAAAGAGAGUUAAACAGUACGUGAAAUUGUCAAAAGGGAAGCGUUUGACACCAGUGUUGUUUUUCUGAAAAUCAAUUAAAGAACUGUUUAUGCUAAGUUGUUUAGACUUUAUCAGCUAUCUGUUUAGUUUUGAGCUUUUCUUUAAUGCACUUUUCAGUUAACAAGUCAACAUCAAUUUCUUUUGCUGUAAAAAAGCUUGAGGAAGGUGGCUUGAGAUUCGUCUUAAGUGUUUAUAGCCUCUUGCCUAUGCAGUCGGAGAGAUUGAGGUCUGCAGCGUAGAUCCUUCGGGGCUAAAUGCAUUUGUGCUAAGUUAUAGCAUUUUAUAGACAACUUGUUGACUAUGAUUUGUCUUGUAGCUUACUCGCUUAUGUUAUUUUACCUACGCUUAGGAUGUUGACGCGCGUGUGUGCGUG
Molecule: ribosomal RNA, 775 nt
Filed under: uncultured Neocallimastigales
Lineage: Eukaryota; Fungi; Neocallimastigomycota; Neocallimastigomycetes; Neocallimastigales
Description: partial large subunit ribosomal RNA
Rfam family: Eukaryotic large subunit ribosomal RNA
Source: RNAcentral